RNAcentral lists this ribosomal RNA (505 nucleotides) under uncultured bacterium. RNAcentral describes it as "bacterial SSU rRNA". It matches the Rfam family "Bacterial small subunit ribosomal RNA", at positions 791 to 1297 of the family's 1533-position model. The record is from RNAcentral.
UAGUCCACGCCGUAAACGAUGUCAACUAGCCGUUGGGAGUCUUGUAUUCUUAGUGGCGCAGCUAACGCGAUAAGUUGACCGCCUGGGGAGUACGGCCGCAAGGUUAAAACUCAAAUGAAUUGACGGGGGCCCGCACAAGCGGUGGAGCAUGUGGUUUAAUUCGAUGCAACGCGAAGAACCUUACCAGGUCUUGACAUCCAGAGAACUUUCCAGAGAUGGAUUGGUGCCUUCGGGAACUCUGAGACAGGUGCUGCAUGGCUGUCGUCAGCUCGUGUCGUGAGAUGUUGGGUUAAGUCCCGUAACGAGCGCAACCCUUGUCCUUAGUUGCUAACAUUUAGUUGAGAACUCUAAGGAGACUGCCGGUGACAAACCGGAGGAGGGUGGGGACGACGUCAAGUCAUCAUGGCCCUUACGCCCAGGGCUACACACGUGCUACAAUGGCGCAUACAGAGGGUCGCGACACGGUAACGUGAAGCCAAUCUCAAAAAGUGCGUCUCAGUUCGGA